GCACCCAUGGAGCAGCAGUUUAGCUCAUUCCCCUCCCAUUUGGCCGAGUGGGCGAGGGAAAGACCCGGGUGCAAACCCCGGUGGAUGCA
Molecule: non-coding RNA, 89 nt
Organism: Hypoxylon crocopeplum
Lineage: Eukaryota; Fungi; Ascomycota; Sordariomycetes; Xylariales; Hypoxylaceae
Source: the annotation of a GenBank genome assembly